This 2902-nucleotide ribosomal RNA is filed under the name Escherichia coli. RNAcentral describes it as "23S ribosomal RNA". It matches the Rfam family "Bacterial large subunit ribosomal RNA". Lineage: Bacteria; Pseudomonadati; Pseudomonadota; Gammaproteobacteria; Enterobacterales; Enterobacteriaceae. The record is from RNAcentral.
GGUUAAGCGACUAAGCGUACACGGUGGAUGCCCUGGCAGUCAGAGGCGAUGAAGGACGUGCUAAUCUGCGAUAAGCGUCGGUAAGGUGAUAUGAACCGUUAUAACCGGCGAUUUCCGAAUGGGGAAACCCAGUGUGAUUCGUCACACUAUCAUUAACUGAAUCCAUAGGUUAAUGAGGCGAACCGGGGGAACUGAAACAUCUAAGUACCCCGAGGAAAAGAAAUCAACCGAGAUUCCCCCAGUAGCGGCGAGCGAACGGGGAGCAGCCCAGAGCCUGAAUCAGUGUGUGUGUUAGUGGAAGCGUCUGGAAAGGCGCGCGAUACAGGGUGACAGCCCCGUACACAAAAAUGCACAUGCUGUGAGCUCGAUGAGUAGGGCGGGACACGUGGUAUCCUGUCUGAAUAUGGGGGACCAUCCUCCAAGGCUAAAUACUCCUGACUGACCGAUAGUGAACCAGUACCGUGAGGGAAAGGCGAAAAGAACCCCGGCGAGGGGAGUGAAAAAGAACCUGAAACCGUGUACGUACAAGCAGUGGGAGCACGCUUAGGCGUGUGACUGCGUACCUUUUGUAUAAUGGGUCAGCGACUUAUAUUCUGUAGCAAGGUUAACCGAAUAGGGGAGCCGAAGGGAAACCGAGUCUUAACUGGGCGUUAAGUUGCAGGGUAUAGACCCGAAACCCGGUGAUCUAGCCAUGGGCAGGUUGAAGGUUGGGUAACACUAACUGGAGGACCGAACCGACUAAUGUUGAAAAAUUAGCGGAUGACUUGUGGCUGGGGGUGAAAGGCCAAUCAAACCGGGAGAUAGCUGGUUCUCCCCGAAAGCUAUUUAGGUAGCGCCUCGUGAAUUCAUCUCCGGGGGUAGAGCACUGUUUCGGCAAGGGGGUCAUCCCGACUUACCAACCCGAUGCAAACUGCGAAUACCGGAGAAUGUUAUCACGGGAGACACACGGCGGGUGCUAACGUCCGUCGUGAAGAGGGAAACAACCCAGACCGCCAGCUAAGGUCCCAAAGUCAUGGUUAAGUGGGAAACGAUGUGGGAAGGCCCAGACAGCCAGGAUGUUGGCUUAGAAGCAGCCAUCAUUUAAAGAAAGCGUAAUAGCUCACUGGUCGAGUCGGCCUGCGCGGAAGAUGUAACGGGGCUAAACCAUGCACCGAAGCUGCGGCAGCGACGCUUAUGCGUUGUUGGGUAGGGGAGCGUUCUGUAAGCCUGUGAAGGUGUGCUGUGAGGCAUGCUGGAGGUAUCAGAAGUGCGAAUGCUGACAUAAGUAACGAUAAAGCGGGUGAAAAGCCCGCUCGCCGGAAGACCAAGGGUUCCUGUCCAACGUUAAUCGGGGCAGGGUGAGUCGACCCCUAAGGCGAGGCCGAAAGGCGUAGUCGAUGGGAAACAGGUUAAUAUUCCUGUACUUGGUGUUACUGCGAAGGGGGACGGAGAAGGCUAUGUUGGCCGGGCGACGGUUGUCCCGGUUUAAGCGUGUAGGCUGGUUUUCCAGGCAAAUCCGGAAAAUCAAGGCUGAGGCGUGAUGACGAGGCACUACGGUGCUGAAGCAACAAAUGCCCUGCUUCCAGGAAAAGCCUCUAAGCAUCAGGUAACAUCAAAUCGUACCCCAAACCGACACAGGUGGUCAGGUAGAGAAUACCAAGGCGCUUGAGAGAACUCGGGUGAAGGAACUAGGCAAAAUGGUGCCGUAACUUCGGGAGAAGGCACGCUGAUAUGUAGGUGAAGUCCCUCGCGGAUGGAGCUGAAAUCAGUCGAAGAUACCAGCUGGCUGCAACUGUUUAUUAAAAACACAGCACUGUGCAAACACGAAAGUGGACGUAUACGGUGUGACGCCUGCCCGGUGCCGGAAGGUUAAUUGAUGGGGUCAGCGCAAGCGAAGCUCUUGAUCGAAGCCCCGGUAAACGGCGGCCGUAACUAUAACGGUCCUAAGGUAGCGAAAUUCCUUGUCGGGUAAGUUCCGACCUGCACGAAUGGCGUAAUGAUGGCCAGGCUGUCUCCACCCGAGACUCAGUGAAAUUGAACUCGCUGUGAAGAUGCAGUGUACCCGCGGCAAGACGGAAAGACCCCGUGAACCUUUACUAUAGCUUGACACUGAACAUUGAGCCUUGAUGUGUAGGAUAGGUGGGAGGCUUAGAAGUGUGGACGCCAGUCUGCAUGGAGCCGACCUUGAAAUACCACCCUUUAAUGUUUGAUGUUCUAACGUUGACCCGUAAUCCGGGUUGCGGACAGUGUCUGGUGGGUAGUUUGACUGGGGCGGUCUCCUCCUAAAGAGUAACGGAGGAGCACGAAGGUUGGCUAAUCCUGGUCGGACAUCAGGAGGUUAGUGCAAUGGCAUAAGCCAGCUUGACUGCGAGCGUGACGGCGCGAGCAGGUGCGAAAGCAGGUCAUAGUGAUCCGGUGGUUCUGAAUGGAAGGGCCAUCGCUCAACGGAUAAAAGGUACUCCGGGGAUAACAGGCUGAUACCGCCCAAGAGUUCAUAUCGACGGCGGUGUUUGGCACCUCGAUGUCGGCUCAUCACAUCCUGGGGCUGAAGUAGGUCCCAAGGGUAUGGCUGUUCGCCAUUUAAAGUGGUACGCGAGCUGGGUUUAGAACGUCGUGAGACAGUUCGGUCCCUAUCUGCCGUGGGCGCUGGAGAACUGAGGGGGGCUGCUCCUAGUACGAGAGGACCGGAGUGGACGCAUCACUGGUGUUCGGGUUGUCAUGCCAAUGGCACUGCCCGGUAGCUAAAUGCGGAAGAGAUAAGUGCUGAAAGCAUCUAAGCACGAAACUUGCCCCGAGAUGAGUUCUCCCUGACUCCUUGAGAGUCCUGAAGGAACGUUGAAGACGACGACGUUGAUAGGCCGGGUGUGUAAGCGCAGCGAUGCGUUGAGCUAACCGGUACUAAUGAACCGUGAGGCUUAACCUU